Molecule: ribosomal RNA, 468 nt
Filed under: uncultured bacterium
Lineage: Bacteria
Description: partial 16S ribosomal RNA
Rfam family: Bacterial small subunit ribosomal RNA
Source: RNAcentral
GACGAACGCUGGCGGCGUGCUUAACACAUGCAAGUCGAACGGAAAGGCCCUGCUUUUGUGGGGUGCUCGAGUGGCGAACGGGUGAGUAACACGUGAGUAACCUGCCCUUGACUGUGGGAUAACUCUAGGAAACUGGGGCUAAUACCGGAUAGGAGCUCCUGCUGCACGGUGGGGGUUGGAAAGUUUCGGCGGUGGGGGAUGGUCUCGCGGCUUAUCAGCUUGUUGGUGGGGUAGUGGCUUACCAAGGUUUUGACGGGUAGCCGGCCUGGGAGGGUGACCGGGCACCUUGGGCCUGCGAUACGGCCCAGACGCCUACGGGACGCAGCAGUGGAGAAUAUUGCACAAUGGGCGGAAGCCUGAUGCAGCAACGCCGCGUGCGGGAUGACGGCCUUCGGGUUGUAAACCGCUUUCGCCUGUGACGAAGCGUGAGUGACGGUAAUGGGUAAAGAAGCACCGGCUAACUACGUG